CCUACGGGGGGCAGCAGUCGAGAAUCAUUCACAAUGGGGGAAACCCUGAUGGUGCGACGCCGCGUGGGGGAAUGAAGGUCUUCGGAUUGUAAACCCCUGUCAUGUGGGAGCAAAUUAAAAAGAUAGUACCACAAGAGGAAGAGACGGCUAACUCUGUGCCAGCAGCCGCGGUAAUACAGGGGUCUCAAGCGUUGUUCGGAAUCACUGGGCGUAAAGCGUGCGUAGGCUGUUUCGUAAAUCGUGGGUGAAAGGCGCGGGCUCAACCCGCGGACGGCACAUGAUACUGCGAGACUAGAGUAAGGGAGGGGGAACCGGAAUUCUCGGUGUAGCAGUGAAAUGCGUAGAUAUCGAGAGGAACACUCGUGGCGAAGGCGGGUUCCUGGACAUUAACUGACGCUGAGGCACGAAGGCCAGGGGAGCGAAAGGGAUUAGAUACCCCAGUAGUC
RNAcentral lists this ribosomal RNA (446 nucleotides) under uncultured bacterium. RNAcentral describes it as "partial 16S ribosomal RNA". It matches the Rfam family "Bacterial small subunit ribosomal RNA", at positions 338 to 795 of the family's 1533-position model. The record is from RNAcentral.